ACAAACUUGGUCAUUUAGAGGAAGUAAAAGUCGUAACAAGGUCUCCGUUGGUGAACCAGCGGAGGGAUCAUUACCGAGUUUACAACUCCCAAACCCGUGUGAACGUUACCUUUCUGUUGCUUCGGCGGGAUCGCCCCGGGCGCCAUCGCGUGCCCCGGAGUCAGGCGCCCGCCGGGGGACCCAAACUCUUGUUUUGCCAGUGGUAUCUUCUGAGUGGAUUACAUGAAUAAUCAAAACUUUCAACAACGGAUCUCUUGGUUCUGGCAUCGAUGAAGAACGCAGC
This 283-nucleotide unclassified non-coding RNA is filed under the name uncultured fungus. RNAcentral's name for it is "partial contains small subunit ribosomal RNA, internal transcribed spacer 1, and 5.8S ribosomal RNA". The stretch from base 1 to 73 matches the Rfam family "Eukaryotic small subunit ribosomal RNA", at positions 1759 to 1831 of the family's 1831-position model. The record is from RNAcentral. Lineage: Eukaryota; Fungi.